Molecule: ribosomal RNA, 393 nt
Filed under: uncultured bacterium
Lineage: Bacteria
Description: partial 16S ribosomal RNA
Rfam family: Bacterial small subunit ribosomal RNA
Source: RNAcentral
AUACGGAGGAUGCGAGCGUUAUCCGGAUUUAUUGGGUUUAAAGGGUGCGUAGGCUGUGCGUUAAGUCAGGGGUGAAAUGCCGUCGCUCAACGACGGAGCUGCCCUUGAUACUGGCGUGCUGGAGUACGGAUGCUGUGGGAGGAAUGUGUGGUGUAGCGGUGAAAUGCAUAGAUAUCACACAGAACACCGAUUGCGAAGGCAUCUCACAAAUCCGUGAUUGACGCUGAGGCACGAAAGUGUGGGGAUCAAACAGGAUUAGAUACCCUGGUAGUCCACACUGUAAACGAUGAUGACUCGCUGUCGGCGAUACACAGUCGGUGGCCAAGCGAAAGCGAUAAGUCAUCCACCUGGGGAGUACGACCGCAAGGUUGAAACUCAAAUGAAUUGACGGGG